This 801-nucleotide ribosomal RNA is filed under the name uncultured bacterium. RNAcentral describes it as "bacterial SSU rRNA". It matches the Rfam family "Bacterial small subunit ribosomal RNA", at positions 85 to 881 of the family's 1533-position model. The record is from RNAcentral.
ACUUAACCUAGCGGCGGACGGGUGAGUAAUGCUUAGGAAUCUGCCUAUUAGUGGGGGACAACAUCUCGAAAGGGAUGCUAAUACCGCAUACGUCCUACGGGAGAAAGCAGGGGACCUUCGGGCCUUGCGCUAAUAGAUGAGCCUAAGUCGGAUUAGCUAGUUGGUGGGGUAAAGGCCUACCAAGGCGACGAUCUGUAGCGGGUCUGAGAGGAUGAUCCGCCACACUGGGACUGAGACACGGCCCAGACUCCUACGGGAGGCAGCAGUGGGGAAUAUUGGACAAUGGGGGGAACCCUGAUCCAGCCAUGCCGCGUGUGUGAAGAAGGCCUUUUGGUUGUAAAGCACUUUAAGCGAGGAGGAGGCUACCGAGAUUAAUACUCUUGGAUAGUGGACGUUACUCGCAGAAUAAGCACCGGCUAACUCUGUGCCAGCAGCCGCGGUAAUACAGAGGGUGCAAGCGUUAAUCGGAUUUACUGGGCGUAAAGCGCGCGUAGGUGGCCAAUUAAGUCAAAUGUGAAAUCCCCGAGCUUAACUUGGGAAUUGCAUUCGAUACUGGUUGGCUAGAGUAUGGGAGAGGAUGGUAGAAUUCCAGGUGUAGCGGUGAAAUGCGUAGAGAUCUGGAGGAAUACCGAUGGCGAAGGCAGCCAUCUGGCCUAAUACUGACACUGAGGUGCGAAAGCAUGGGGAGCAAACAGGAUUAGAUACCCUGGUAGUCCAUGCCGUAAACGAUGUCUACUAGCCGUUGGGGCCUUUGAGGCUUUAGUGGCGCAGCUAACGCGAUAAGUAGACCGCCUGGGGAGU